GGAUCCUCUGGGAGAAAUGAGAAUUGAUGGUACUCCAGCAAGAAGUUAUAUGUGCAAGGAAUACAGAAUUAUACACGGUUAAAAAAAAUACAGAAUCAACUUUGGAAGAAGAGGUCUGUGCCUGUUCUUCUCUACACUGCCAACCGCCCCUCUGCGUGGUCCUCACUCUCCCUGGUCAUCUGCCUGCCUCAUUAUAGUAUUUCAGGUCCUGUUUGGCUCUGCUCCUGGCCUGUAUAUGUAAAACAGCC
Long non-coding RNA from Jaculus jaculus (lesser Egyptian jerboa), 248 nucleotides. RefSeq lists it as uncharacterized. Lineage: Eukaryota; Metazoa; Chordata; Mammalia; Rodentia; Dipodidae. The record is from RefSeq and is a predicted model, not a curated record. The transcript has 3 exons.